This 301-nucleotide ribosomal RNA is filed under the name uncultured bacterium. RNAcentral describes it as "partial 16S ribosomal RNA". It matches the Rfam family "Bacterial small subunit ribosomal RNA", at positions 509 to 809 of the family's 1533-position model. The record is from RNAcentral.
CAGUCGCCACGGUAAUACGAAGGGUGCAAGCGUUACUCGGAAUUACUGGGCGUAAAGCGUGCGUAGGUGGUGGUUUAAGUCCGUUGUGAAAGCCCUGGGCUCAACCUGGGAAUUGCAGUGGAUACUGGGUCACUAGAGUGUGGUAGAGGAUAGUGGAAUUUCCGGUGUAGCAGUGAAAUACGUAGAGAUCGGAAGGAACAUCUGUGGCGAAGGCGACUAUCUGGGCCAACACUGACACUGAGGCACGAAAGCGUGGGGAGCAAACAGGAUUAGAUACCCGCGUAGUCCCUGUCUCUUAUAA